RNAcentral lists this ribosomal RNA (256 nucleotides) under uncultured bacterium. Its description in RNAcentral is "partial 16S ribosomal RNA". It matches the Rfam family "Bacterial small subunit ribosomal RNA", at positions 521 to 776 of the family's 1533-position model. The record is from RNAcentral.
UAAUACAGAGGGUGCGAGCGUUAAUCGGAAUUACUGGGCGUAAAGCGCGCGUAGGUUGGUAGAUGUGUUGACUGUGAAAUCCCCGAGCUCAACUUGGGGCGGUCAGUCAAAACUGUCUAUCUAGAGUAUGGUAGAGGAAAGUGGAAUUUCAGGUGUAGCGGUGAAAUGCGUAGAUAUCUGAAGGAACACCAGUGGCGAAGGCGACUUUCUGGACCAAUACUGACACUGAGGCGCGAAAGCGUGGGGAGCAAACAGG